CUGGCGGCAGGCCUAACACAUGCAAGUCGAGCGCUCACCUUCGGGUGGGAGCGGCGGACGGGUUAGUAACGCGUGGGAACAUACCCUUCUCUACGGAAUAGUCUCGGGAAACUGGGGGUAAUACCGUAUACGCCCCCCGAUCUUAAUAAAUUGGGGGGGAAAGAUUUAUCGGAGAAGGAUUGGCCCGCGUUUGAUUAGAUAGUUGGUGGGGUAAUGGCCUACCAAGUCUACGAUCAAUAGCUGGUUUGAGAGGAUGAUCAGCAACACUGGGACUGAGACACGGCCCAGACUCCUACGGGAGGCAGCAGUGGGGAAUCUUAGACAAUGGGCGCAAGCCUGAUCUAGCCAUGCCGCGUGAGUGACGAAGGUCUUAGGAUCGUAAAGCUCUUUCGCCAGAGAUGAUAAUGACAGUAUCUGGUAAAGAAACCCCGGCUAACUCCGUGCCAGCAGCCGCGGUAAUACGGAGGGGGUUAGCGUUGUUCGGAAUUACUGGGCGUAAAGCGUACGUAGGCGGAUUGGAAAGUAGGGGGUGAAAUCCCAGGGCUCAACCCUGGAACUGCCUCCUAAACUGCCAGUCUAGAGUUCGAGAGAGGUGAGUGGAAUUCCAAGUGUAGAGGUGAAAUUCGUAGAUAUUUGGAGGAACACCAGUGGCGAAGGCGGCUCACUGGCUCGAUACUGACGCUGAGGUACGAAAGUGUGGGGAGCAAACAGGAUUAGAUACCCUGGUAGUCCACACCGUAAACGAUGAAUGCCAGUCGUCGGGUUGCUUGCAACUCGGUGACACACCUAACGGAUUAAGCAUCCG
RNAcentral lists this ribosomal RNA (805 nucleotides) under uncultured Yoonia sp. RNAcentral's name for it is "bacterial SSU rRNA". It matches the Rfam family "Bacterial small subunit ribosomal RNA", at positions 36 to 871 of the family's 1533-position model. Lineage: Bacteria; Pseudomonadati; Pseudomonadota; Alphaproteobacteria; Rhodobacterales; Paracoccaceae. The record is from RNAcentral.